RNAcentral lists this ribosomal RNA (253 nucleotides) under uncultured bacterium. Its description in RNAcentral is "partial 16S ribosomal RNA". It matches the Rfam family "Bacterial small subunit ribosomal RNA", at positions 524 to 776 of the family's 1533-position model. The record is from RNAcentral.
UACGGAGGGCGCGAGCGUUAAUCGGAAUUACUGGGCGUAAAGCGCGCGUAGGCUGUUGUGUAAGUUGGGGGUGAAAUCCCACGGCUCAACCGUGGAACAGCCCUUGAUACUGCGCGACUUGAAUCCGGGAGAGGGUGGCGGAAUUCCAGGUGUAGGAGUGAAAUCCGUAGAUAUCUGGAGGAACACCAGUGGCGAAGGCGGCUUGCUGGACGAUGACUGACGUUGAGGCUCGAAAGCGUGGGGAGCAAACAGG